This 410-nucleotide ribosomal RNA is filed under the name uncultured bacterium. Its description in RNAcentral is "bacterial SSU rRNA". It matches the Rfam family "Bacterial small subunit ribosomal RNA", at positions 359 to 790 of the family's 1533-position model. The record is from RNAcentral.
CGCAUUGAAAUGGGCGAAAGCCUGAUGCAGCAACGCCGCGUGAGCGAUGAAGGCCUUCGGGUCGUAAAGCUCUGUCCUCAAGGAAGAUAAUGACGGUACUUGAGGAGGAAGCCCCGGCUAACUACGUGCCAGCAGCCGCGGUAAUACGUAGGGGGCUAGCGUUAUCCGGAUUUACUGGGCGUAAAGGGUGCGUAGGCGGUCUUUCAAGUCAGGAGUGAAAGGCUACGGCUCAACCGUAGUAAGCUCUUGAAACUGUAAGACUUGAGUGCAGGAGAGGAGAGUGGAAUUCCUAGUGUAGCGGUGAAAUGCGUAGAUAUUAGGAGGAACACCAGUUGCGAAGGCGGCUCUCUGGACUGUAACUGACGCUGAGGCACGAAAGCGUGGGGAGCAAACAGGAUUAGAUACCCUGG